ACUGCUGCCCUUCGCCGCCGCCCCCGGCAGUGCUCGCUCUCUCUAGGCCCCAUGUAAAUCGCUGUGUUUGCUGGGGAGCCCUUAGUUCAAUUCUCAGGGGAUUAGGGCCAUUGAGAUUCUUAAUCAAUUGCUGGGUUCCACGCGAUCCUCUUUAGAAACUUUUUGCUUAAUAUGCAUCUAGAGACAUGCACGGCCCGCCUGCAGCGCUGGAGCCGAUGGAGUGGAGCCUGGGAGGCUGCAGGCGACCCCCAGGCUUCUAAACAGCAACGUCAGUUUAAUUAUUGCAGAUCCGUCACAGCUGCCAAGUCCUCUCUGUCUUCGUUGUUGUUAACGGGGAAACUUGCCGCCCGGUGGCUUUGCUUCAGGCGGAAGUCCGCGUGCUUUGAUACCCUCAGGGGGCACUUACAGGCUAGGUGGACACAGACACUAGUCCCACUUCUUUGGUUAUCUGUAUUCUGAGUCCACAAAUCAGAGGCAUCCAGUUGAAAAAGCUGAAAGCUUCUAGAAUGGCACUAUCCAAUAUGGUAGCCAGUGGCCCCCUGUGGCUACUGUGCACUUAAAAUGUGGCCAGUCCUAACUGCAACGUGCUGAAAAGACAGAAGCUGAUUGAGGUCCCAGCUUGGUAACAGUUUGAAGAGUUGCAGGACUGGCUGGAUGAGUACUGGCUGCAGCAAAUCAGGCUGCCAGGAUUCUUUAUGGCUGUUUCUGCUUCCACUACAGCUGAGUCAGAAAGGUCGCUGCCCCGUGGUGGCACUAGACGCAGUGGACCUGGCAAGCAAAUGUUUCCGCUAUUAGCUCUCAGCAACAGAGACUCAUUUAUGGUCACCUUGGAAAUCUGGGCUUAUCGAUCUACAGCCCAAGUCUGCUGAGAAGCUGGAGCUUACUAAAGGGGAAACCUGAGAGCUGUUCAAGCCCCAAAUAUUUUCCACUUCUGCGUCACCUCUGCUGUCUGUUAGCAGAGUGGAGGAGAAAAUACACAGCACAAACAACGUGAAAAAAUAGUUACUCUAUUCAUUAAAAGCUGUAACUUCCAGAUUGGACUUGAGAAGCAAUUAAGCAACAGAGGAACCUCAUCUACUAUCUGUAUUCAGGCAUGCUCAUGAGAACACGCUGCUCCAGCUGGACUUAGAGGAACCCGGUGCAUCACAGGCAUUCCUGACAGAGUCUCGUGGUCCUGCUGGUCCACUCAGUGGUACUCAGUCCUCCUCAUUCUCGGGGAUAGGUUCCAAGACCCCCAGGGGAUGCCUGAAAC
This 1252-nucleotide long non-coding RNA is filed under the name Homo sapiens (human). RNAcentral describes it as "non-protein coding lnc-C9orf66-15:6". The record is from RNAcentral. Lineage: Eukaryota; Metazoa; Chordata; Mammalia; Primates; Hominidae.